Molecule: ribosomal RNA, 600 nt
Filed under: Micrococcus luteus
Lineage: Bacteria; Bacillati; Actinomycetota; Actinomycetes; Micrococcales; Micrococcaceae
Description: bacterial SSU rRNA
Rfam family: Bacterial small subunit ribosomal RNA
Source: RNAcentral
AGCUUGCUGGGUGGAUUAGUGGCGAACGGGUGAGUAACACGUGAGUAACCUGCCCUUAACUCUGGGAUAAGCCUGGGAAACUGGGUCUAAUACCGGAUAGGAGCGUCCACCGCAUGGUGGGUGUUGGAAAGAUUUAUCGGUUUUGGAUGGACUCGCGGCCUAUCAGCUUGUUGGUGAGGUAAUGGCUCACCAAGGCGACGACGGGUAGCCGGCCUGAGAGGGUGACCGGCCACACUGGGACUGAGACACGGCCCAGACUCCUACGGGAGGCAGCAGUGGGGAAUAUUGCACAAUGGGCGCAAGCCUGAUGCAGCGACGCCGCGUGAGGGAUGACGGCCUUCGGGUUGUAAACCUCUUUCAGUAGGGAAGAAGCGAAAGUGACGGUACCUGCAGAAGAAGCACCGGCUAACUACGUGCCAGCAGCCGCGGUAAUACGUAGGGUGCGAGCGUUAUCCGGAAUUAUUGGGCGUAAAGAGCUCGUAGGCGGUUUGUCGCGUCUGUCGUGAAAGUCCGGGGCUUAACCCCGGAUCUGCGGUGGGUACGGGCAGACUAGAGUGCAGUAGGGGAGACUGGAAUUCCUGGUGUAGCGGUGGAAUGCGC